This 397-nucleotide ribosomal RNA is filed under the name uncultured bacterium. RNAcentral describes it as "bacterial SSU rRNA". It matches the Rfam family "Bacterial small subunit ribosomal RNA", at positions 29 to 451 of the family's 1533-position model. The record is from RNAcentral.
AGCGAACGCUGGCGGCAGGCUUAACACAUGCAAGUCGAGCGGGCGUAGCAAUACGUCAGCGGCAGACGGGUGAGUAACGCGUGGGAACGUACCUUUUGGUUCGGAACAACACAGGGAAACUUGUGCUAAUACCGGAUAAGCCCUUACGGGGAAAGAUUUAUCGCCGAAAGAUCGGCCCGCGUCUGAUUAGCUAGUUGGUGAGGUAACGGCUCACCAAGGCGACGAUCAGUAGCUGGUCUGAGAGGAUGAUCAGCCACAUUGGGACUGAGACACGGCCCAAACUCCUACGGGAGGCAGCAGUGGGGAAUAUUGGACAAUGGGGGAACCCUGAUCCAGCCAUGCCGCGUGAGUGAUGAAGGCCUUAGGGUUGUAAAGCUCUUUCACCCUACGACGAUGA